RNAcentral lists this long non-coding RNA (544 nucleotides) under Rhinopithecus bieti (black snub-nosed monkey). Its description in RNAcentral is "lncRNA (ENSRBIG00000046406.1)". Lineage: Eukaryota; Metazoa; Chordata; Mammalia; Primates; Cercopithecidae. The record is from RNAcentral.
AAUGACCUUGUGCACAUUGCUUAACAACUCUGAACCCCCAUUUCCUCAUCUGGAAAAGGGGAUCCUGACUACACCUCCCACUUGUAGGGAUCUGCAGAGGCUGAGAGGAGCAGAGGCUGAGAGCUCUGCAGGGGCCUGACAGCAGGGCUCCCAAACAAUGGAGGACUUCACUCCUGGUUUAUCACAUUUGUCGCCAGGGUGCAGAUUUCCAACAGGAAGAGCGGAGAGAGAAAAAGAACUGCCGUACUUGCUGACUACACGUGGGAAACUAAGAAAAUAUUUACAGCUUGCAGAAGGUUCGCCAUGUUCCCAUGUAUUAAUAUUUUUGGCCCUCUCUCAGUUCUCUGGGACAGUUUAUUUUUUAUUUUUUUCAUUUUGCUGUUGCUUUAUAAAACAUGUCGACAACUGGAGCCAACCGCUUCUUUUUUAGUUUUUAAGCUCAAACAGCUUUCUUUUUUAUUUCAUGAUUUUUUUUUUUUAAACCAAAGAAUGCUUUGUGCCGUGAGUGGUUUCUGCCAGCCUGCGUGCCUUUCUCACAGCACGG